GACGAACGCUGGCGGCGUGCUUAACACAUGCAAGUCGAACGGAAAGGCCCUGCUUUUGUGGGGUGCUCGAGUGGCGAACGGGUGAGUAACACGUGAGUAACCUGCCCUUGACUUUGGGAUAACUUCAGGAAACUGGGGCUAAUACCGGAUAGGAGCUCCUGCUGCAUGGUGGGGGUUGGAAAGUUUCGGCGGUUGGGGAUGGACUCGCGGCUUAUCAGCUUGUUGGUGGGGUAGUGGCUUACCAAGGCUUUGACGGGUAGCCGGCCUGAGAGGGUGACCGGCCACAUGGGGACUGAGAUACGGCCCAGACUCCUACGGGAGGCAGCAGUGGGGAAGAUUGCACAAGGGGCGGAAGCCUGAUGCAGCAACGCCGCGUGCGGGAUGACGGCCUUGGGGUUGUAAACCGCUUUCGCCUGUGACGAAGCGUGAGUGACGGUAAUGGGUAAAGAAGCACCGGCUAACUACGUG
This 468-nucleotide ribosomal RNA is filed under the name uncultured bacterium. Its description in RNAcentral is "partial 16S ribosomal RNA". It matches the Rfam family "Bacterial small subunit ribosomal RNA", at positions 28 to 507 of the family's 1533-position model. The record is from RNAcentral.